AUGUAUAAUGUCACAGAGGCCGUCUGGUGUGAUGGGAAGAGCUCUAGGGAUCACAGAAUCCAAGUGGGAAUGGAUUGUAGAGGUCAUCCAGUCCAACUCCUCCUUUUACAGAAUAGGUGGCAGCAUGGGAUGUUGCUGAACUGGAAUUCGAGUCAGGGGUCCUGGGUUCAGAUUCUGAUUCUGCCACUUGCCUUCUGUAUGACUUCAGAUGAAGGAACAGAAGCUGGAAAAGGAGAAGUGACUCCUCCCAGAGUGACAGAGGUUCCUCGACUGGUUCAUGACAGCGUGGGAACUGAGGCCAAGGGUUCUAGCCUCCCGACCAAGUGCUCCUUCUGAUGAGAAACUUCCUCUCUGCACUAAAUAACAACUCUCACUUCCUGAGAUCUCUGACUUCUGUGGAACACUUUCCCCAGAGCAGCCCCUUCCGCCACAGGUAUGUUACCCCCAUUUUGCAGAUGACAAAACUUAAGCCCAGAGAUGGAAGAUGAAGAUUGCCUUGCUCUAGGUCACACAGAUAACCUAAUAAACAGAUCCAGGCCCCAAAGCA
Molecule: long non-coding RNA, 547 nt
Filed under: Monodelphis domestica (gray short-tailed opossum)
Lineage: Eukaryota; Metazoa; Chordata; Mammalia; Didelphimorphia; Didelphidae
Description: lncRNA (ENSMODG00000044439.1)
Source: RNAcentral